CUACGGGCGGCUGCAGUGAGGAAUUUUGCGCAAUGGGGGAAACCCUGACGCAGCAACGCCGCGUGAGUGAUGAAGGCCUUCGGGUCGUAAAGCUCUGUCAAGUGGGAAGAACCCACCCUGUGCUAAUAUCACAGGGUGCUGACGGUACCACUGAAGGAAGCACCGGCUAGCUCCGUGCCAGCAGCCGCGGUAAUACGGAGGGUGCAAGCGUUAUUCGGAAUUACUGGGCGUAAAGGGCGCGUAGGCGGCCUUUUAAGUCAGAUGUGAAAUCCCGGGGCUCAACCCCGGAAGUGCAUCUGAAACUAAGAGGCUUGAGUAUGGGAGAGGGAAGUGGAAUUCCUGGUGUAGAGGUGAAAUUCGUAGAUGUCAGGAGGAACACCGGUGGCGAAGGCGACUUCCUGGACCAAUACUGACGCUGAGGCGCGAAGGCGUGGGGAGCAAACAGGAUUAGAUACCCGCGUAGUC
This 465-nucleotide ribosomal RNA is filed under the name uncultured bacterium. Its description in RNAcentral is "partial 16S ribosomal RNA". It matches the Rfam family "Bacterial small subunit ribosomal RNA", at positions 339 to 795 of the family's 1533-position model. The record is from RNAcentral.